CGUCGCCACACCCCUUCUCGGUUUUUGCCUCCGAUGAGGCCCUUCCCGGCCUCCGUUUAAUGCAAUUUUUAUAUCACCGUGAUCACCAUUCUUUUCUCUACAGGUUGAUCAGAGCCGAAUCACCAAAACACGAACUUCACCGGAGAGCCGCCGCUGGUAAGCUUCGGUUUUCCGUAAAUUUUUGGCCCCCCGAGGGCCGUAGGGUUGUUUUAUCGCAGGAACCAAUGCGAGUGUGGCCGAAUUCGGCCAGAAACGACCGAAAACGGCCAACCCGAGGUGAACCGCCGUCGCUUGCGGCGGCGCCGUCGCCGGAGCACGGCGGAGCCACC
RNAcentral lists this long non-coding RNA (329 nucleotides) under Carica papaya (papaya). RNAcentral's name for it is "long non-coding RNA (CPAP_LNC015152)". The record is from RNAcentral. Lineage: Eukaryota; Viridiplantae; Streptophyta; Magnoliopsida; Brassicales; Caricaceae.